Molecule: ribosomal RNA, 253 nt
Filed under: uncultured bacterium
Lineage: Bacteria
Description: partial 16S ribosomal RNA
Rfam family: Bacterial small subunit ribosomal RNA
Source: RNAcentral
UACGUAGGUGGCAAGCGUUGUUCGGAAUUACUGGGCGUAAAGGGCGCGUAGGCGGCCUGCUAAGUCGAACGUGAAAUCCCUGGGCUCAACCCAGGAACUGCGUCCGAUACUGGUUGGCUUGAAUCCGGGAGAGGGAUGUGGAAUUCCAGGUGUAGCGGUGAAAUGCGUAGAUAUCUGGAGGAACACCGGUGGCGAAGGCGGCAUCCUGGACCGGCAUUGACGCUGAGGAGCGAAAGCCAGGGGAGCAAACGGG